CACCGAGUGUAAACAAGGCGCUGAUUGGCUGUUGUCCAGUCCGCACAGGGCCUCCUGAAAAAAGCAAUUACUGGCUCCGCGGUUUCAAGGCGCCCAAGGCCGCUUGAUGAAAGGAGAUAAGCUGGGGACAGUUUCCAGGACCCCCACGGGCCGACCCCAGCAGCCCGGGAGCCGAGGUGCGCCGCAGAGCCUGCGGAUCAAAGGAAUCCGGAGAGAAAGGGGAAGCAGGCGCACGGCCCGGGCCGGCCUUCCCCCGCGGGCAUCUCUGACCUGGGGUGGGGGCUUGGGCGGCGGGCGGGGGCUCCGGGAUUGGGCGCCCGCUUCGGGCGGCGUGGCCGGCGGGGCGGCUCCGGAGAGCCCGGGGCUGGCAGGUAAGCACCGGGACACCGCGAGCGCGGGACAGGGCGCGCGGUCCCGAGCUGAGGCUCCGACGAUGCCCCGACACAGCGGCAGAGAUAAAACCCCAGCUGCCGGAGCCUCUGGCCAGUCCCGAGGCCGACGCCUUCGGAAACGACCCCAGGCGGCGCGCGGCAACCGCGGGAGGAGAGGCAGCUUGCAUAAAUCCAUACAGCGCCUGGAGAUCCGAUUAGCGCGCGGCUAUUCAUUAGGCCGUGGGCGAUUGAAUUAGGUCCCCGUUGCGGACCCGGGGGGGCGGGGGGGGGGGGCCCUCGGGCUUGGCGCGACCAUCGGGGUAGGGGGUGGCUGACGCGGACCACCGGGCUCGGCCCGUGGCUUCUGGAGGAUGGAGUCGCAGUGACGGCCCCGACAUGUGUUGGGGAGACGGACUUCCUCUGGGUCCCGCCCCUACGGGUGCGUGCGGAGGCCCCCCGCUUCCCACGCACAUCCAGGAAAGCCGGCCCGGUUGGGGAGAAAUCGCUCUCACCUAGAGGUGGGUCGGCGGGGACGGCCUCCAGCCUGGGCUCCGGAACCCCUUGCAGGGCCAGGCGAGGCCGGAGCUCGGGCUGGAAGCGGCUUGCCGCGCCGUCCCGGAGCGCGCCGGGCUCACACUGCGUCCCUGGCCCCGGUGGCCUGGUGCGCGGAGGCUGCUCGGUCCGUGAGCCCUGGGACCCUCACCAGCUUCCCGCAGCCCCUCGGCACAGCUCUCCAGCCGGGACUUUGAAGUCUAGACCCCCGGCAAAGCGCCCCUAGCUGACAGCACGUUGCCUAUUCUGGUUUGGUAGCGGAGUACCCCAUUGCUGACAUUCUCCAAUGAGUUGUUUCCCGGCCCAGAAACCUUCUUUUUUUUAAUGUAAGAUUGAGUUUUAAAGUUCCGUUUGAAAUGAAAUAUAUAUGUGAGCAAAAUACAUAUAAGAAAAAGAUUCUCCAUCCAAGGGAAAGAACACCUUGGCGACCGGCGGAAUCCCUAGAGUUUCUCUGAGUUCCCAGAGCUGCGCCCGCCGCCCGAUGCCCAUGGGCCAGGAGGGGACUCCUGGCCUCUGACCGCCUGUGGGCGAGACAUAGGGGCCUCCAGUCUCCAGGAUCCCGCAGUUUGCGCAGAAAGGCACCCGCUGGGAAAUCCCCAUUCUCUGCUCCCCACCUCCUAGGGCAGAAGAUUGUCUGAAGGUCCUGGAGCCUGGCUGAUGGGCCCCACCCUAGCGGUACUGGAGGGAGGCCUGCAGGCUGCUUCAGACUGCAGAGAACUGUAUCAUUCCGGGACCUCCCUGCCCUUGCGGGUUGCAGCUGGCGUUCCCCAGAUUACUAAUUCAGGGGGAAGCCCUGCGUCCACAUGCCUCUCCUGCCAGACACCCCUCCUGGCUUGCCCUCUGGCCUGGGAAGAAGGUAAACAGAUGCCCGAGAAGCCAGCUGUUCUCUGACACCUGGGCGUGCUCUCUCAGCACACUUACAUCCACACUACACUCCCGCGCACACACCGCUCCUGUGCACACGCGUACGUCUCACACACACGUGUGCGUACAUCACACUCAGGCACACCCUUGAGCACCACGCAGCACGUUACACUCCCAUGUGCACGAAACAUACGUGCACACGCUUCAUCUCACACAGCAGCCCAUGUUUACACGUGGCCCAGCGUUCUGGAGAACCUGCCUUGCCCCACGCAGCCUGGGGGCCCCUGACACAUCCCCCCCAGCCUGUCCCCAGCCAUGGAGUUCCAUCUACAGUGCUCCCAGCUCCCAAAAGACCACGAUCCUGCUCUGCCUGAAAUCAUGAAAUAAUCAUUUUUUUAACACAAGGGUGUGGGGGUGUCGGGUGAGUUACAUAAAAUUGUGAAUUAGUCCCUGCUCCAAAUAAAUGCCUACUUGGGCCAGAGAACAGCAGAGAGAGAGCUGCGCGCUCCGUAAUUG
This is a long non-coding RNA of Neofelis nebulosa (Clouded leopard), 2303 nucleotides long. RefSeq lists it as uncharacterized. The transcript is spliced from 2 exons. Lineage: Eukaryota; Metazoa; Chordata; Mammalia; Carnivora; Felidae. The record is from RefSeq and is a predicted model, not a curated record.